RNAcentral lists this ribosomal RNA (253 nucleotides) under uncultured bacterium. Its description in RNAcentral is "partial 16S ribosomal RNA". It matches the Rfam family "Bacterial small subunit ribosomal RNA", at positions 524 to 776 of the family's 1533-position model. The record is from RNAcentral.
UACGUAGGGGGCAAGCGUUGUCCGGAUUUAUUGGGCGUAAAGAGCGUGUAGGCGGCCUGACAAGUCUGCUGUGAAAACUCGAGGCUCAACCUCGAGAUGUCGGCGGAAACUGUCUGGCUAGAGUCCGGAAGAGGCGAGUGGAAUUCCUGGUGUAGCGGUGAAAUGCGCAGAUAUCAGGAGGAACACCAAUGGCGAAGGCGACUUCCUGGCCUGUUCUUGACGCUGAGGCGCGAAAGCUAGGGGAGCAAACGGG